This 2022-nucleotide small RNA is filed under the name Rattus norvegicus (Norway rat). RNAcentral describes it as "uncharacterized LOC108352942". The record is from RNAcentral. Lineage: Eukaryota; Metazoa; Chordata; Mammalia; Rodentia; Muridae.
UGUAGUUCAUUCCAGAUCUAGUCAAGUUGGCAACCAGGAAUAGCCUUUACCUGCCCCAAACACAGAACCCCAGAAAAAAAAUUCCCAACACUCAAUGCCCCAUGAACACUUCUUUGGCUCCACAGAUGAUGACCGCCAUCCUGUUACUCUCAAAUACUUUGCAAUGAAUGAUCACACCUACAUCAGAUCCAAAGGCUAAUAAAGCUCACCAGCACAAGCGCUGCUCCAGGACGCCUUCAGGGGUCACUGCGUCGCGGAACCUUGAGGACAUGCAGCUAGGACCGGGAUGCAGCCAGGACGCUGCCGGGACGCCAGUUAUCUUUGCUUCCCUCCGCCCGCAACACUCGUGAUCUGAAAAGCUCCAGGAAAGCUGCCCGCGGAAACACGGAAACACGGAGACGCGCUACCGAGUGGGCGCCUUAGACCCACGCCUCACGGACACACUCUGCCCUUGGACGCACAGUCCCAACGCCCCUAGGUGUAAUAAACACAAAAAACAAACUUGGCACAAAUGAGCUCCCCGCCCCCAACUCCCAAGCUGCGGCUUCCCCACUAUUCGGAUGGGUCAGAGCUGAAGUCAGAGAAUCUCGCGUGGACCGCGGCUUACCUACGUCUCCUGGCCGUUUUAUCCACCUAAUAGCCACCUUGCCUCGUGGUAGUGACAGGUCCGGAUCACUUCUUCGGUGUGCCAACUCUGAACUUCUGAUGGUGCCGAGAGGAGCUGCCAACGAAUACAGAAAGUUUUCACCAAUAGAAACCGAACUCCUCUUGGCUCAGCUAAACCUGCAACCGCCCUCAGACCCUCUAGGUGGCGCAGGCUGCUCUUUGGGGAAGACUGGGACCCUUAAUCCUGCACACAGCUCCAGCAUCCUAAGCAUCUGGGCAGCAAUUGGGAAAUGGGUCCCUGCUUCGCCUACAAAGCUCCCUUCUCCUCAAAACCUACCUCAUCACUUUUGGCAGUCCCUUGGUUUUGUUCAUUGUCAUGUCCAGGUCACGGAGCAAAUGCAAUAUUUUGGAUUACUUGUCUAAAGUCUCUGAAACACUCUUCAGUCCCUGGCAACUUUGAUGCCAACCUGAGCUACAUGACAAGACUAUUUCAAGAAAUGUCAAUAAACAAACUGUGUGAGUUAAUGCUAAUAUUGUCGCUUGGCUGCUGUGCCUGCUCCUGCUUUGUUUGUUUGUUUGUUUUGUUGUUGUUCUUAUUGUUUAAGUAUCUUUGAAGUCAUCCCUGAAGGAAAAAAAAUCAUUGCUCCUGUUUCAAAGAUAAGGGAUCUGUUGCUUACAGUGUUGUAUCACUAACUCACCUGAGGUCCCAUAGCUAGAUGGCAGUCAGACUUCUAAGGUAGGUGUAACUGGCGGGAGAGCUUAUAUCCCAUUUCUGUGAAGCAUCAAAUAAGCAGACAAUUGUGAAAAGGGGACUGCGUGAGAAACAGGAAAGAAUCUUACAGUGGAUGUCCGGCCAAGCCAAUUAAGGUUUGACUCUGACACGUCCUCUGCAGGCUUUGCUUGUUUGCUUGUUUGCUUGUUUGCUUGUUUGCUUGUUUGUUUUUAAGCUUGCUCCCCGAUGGCUGGGGAUGUUUUGGGAGACUCUGGAAUCUUUAGGAGUAGAACUGAGCUGGUGAAAGAAGGUCACUAAAAGUGAGACUUUCGCGUUUAUGGCCUAGCCCCUAUCCCUCAGCUGGCUGCUUCCUGCUCUGCUCCUACACCUUUAUCUCCAGCACCCACUGCAGCAGAUGGAGUGACGCCUGCCAUUCUGACCUCCCCUCCCCCGACUGAAACCCGUCUAAAGCUAUGGCUCUUUCUGCCCUGAGUUCAAUCUGCCAGGUACUGGAUCACAGAGACACUGCUAAUCAAGGAGUAAAGGCGAAUGUUCUGGAAGAUGGGGGUGACACUCGGUAGUAGAGAUGUGUGUCCUGAGUUCAGUCUUCAGCACUGGGAGAACACAGCAGCCAGAUGGUAGACUAAAUGAUGUCCUAGUUAAGAAAAAAGAUCCUGGGGCUGGAGAGAUGGCUCAGCGGUUAA